This 466-nucleotide ribosomal RNA is filed under the name uncultured bacterium. RNAcentral's name for it is "partial 16S ribosomal RNA". It matches the Rfam family "Bacterial small subunit ribosomal RNA", at positions 28 to 506 of the family's 1533-position model. The record is from RNAcentral.
GAUGAACGCUGGCGGCGCGCCUAACACAUGCAAGUCGAACGAUUAAAGCACCUUCGGGUGUGUAUAAAGUGGCGAACGGCUGAGUAACACGUGGGCAACCUGCCCCUCUCAUUGGGAUAGCCACGGGAAACCGUGGAUAAUACCGAAUACUUCGGGACUUCCGCAUGGAAGACUCGAGAAAGCUCCGGCGGAGAGGGAUGGGCCCGCGGCCUGUUAGCUUGUUGGUGGGGUAAUGGCCUACCAAGGCAAUGAUGGGUAGCUGGGUUGAGAGACCGACCAGCAAGAUGGGGACGGAGACCCGCCCCAGCCCCCGAGGGGGGGCAGGGGGGGGAAUUCGUGAAAAAGGGGCGAAGGCUUGAUGCAGCGACGCGGGGGGGGGGAUGAAGCCUUUGGGUUUGAAACCCUUUUCCGGCGGGGAGGGGGCAAAAGGGAGGGUCCCGGCAGAAGAAGCCCCGGUUAACUACGU